RNAcentral lists this ribosomal RNA (301 nucleotides) under uncultured bacterium. RNAcentral's name for it is "partial 16S ribosomal RNA". It matches the Rfam family "Bacterial small subunit ribosomal RNA", at positions 509 to 807 of the family's 1533-position model. The record is from RNAcentral.
CAGUCGCCGCGGUAAUACAGAGGGUGCAAGCGUUAAUCGGAAUUACUGGGCGUAAAGCGCGCGUAGGUGGUUUGUUAAGUUGGAUGUGAAAUCCCCGGGCUCAACCUGGGAACUGCAUCCAAAACUGGCAAGCUAGAGUAUGGUAGAGGGUGGUGGAAUUUCCUGUGUAGCGGUGAAAUGCGUAGAUAUAGGAAGGAACACCAGUGGCGAAGGCGACCACCUGGACUGAUACUGACACUGAGGUGCGAAAGCGUGGGGAUCAAACAGGAUUAGAUACCCCCGUAGUCCCUGUCUCUUAUAC